This 2075-nucleotide ribosomal RNA is filed under the name Escherichia coli. RNAcentral's name for it is "partial 23S ribosomal RNA". It matches the Rfam family "Bacterial large subunit ribosomal RNA", at positions 886 to 2925 of the family's 2925-position model. Lineage: Bacteria; Pseudomonadati; Pseudomonadota; Gammaproteobacteria; Enterobacterales; Enterobacteriaceae. The record is from RNAcentral.
GAAUUCAUCUCCGGGGGUAGAGCACUGUUUCGGCAAGGGGGUCAUCCCGACUUACCAACCCGAUGCAAACUGCGAAUACCGGAGAAUGUUAUCACGGGAGACACACGGCGGGUGCUAACGUCCGUCGUGAAGAGGGAAACAACCCAGACCGCCAGCUAAGGUCCCAAAGUCAUGGUUAAGUGGGAAACGAUGUGGGAAGGCCCAGACAGCCAGGAUGUUGGCUUAGAAGCAGCCAUCAUUUAAAGAAAGCGUAAUAGCUCACUGGUCGAGUCGGCCUGCGCGGAAGAUGUAACGGGGCUAAACCAUGCACCGAAGCUGCGGCAGCGACACUAUGUGUUGUUGGGUAGGGGAGCGUUCUGUAAGCCUGUGAAGGUGUACUGUGAGGUAUGCUGGAGGUAUCAGAAGUGCGAAUGCUGACAUAAGUAACGAUAAAGCGGGUGAAAAGCCCGCUCGCCGGAAGACCAAGGGUUCCUGUCCAACGUUAAUCGGGGCAGGGUGAGUCGACCCCUAAGGCGAGGCCGAAAGGCGUAGUCGAUGGGAAACAGGUUAAUAUUCCUGUACUUGGUGUUACUGCGAAGGGGGGACGGAGAAGGCUAUGUUGGCCGGGCGACGGUUGUCCCGGUUUAAGCGUGUAGGCUGGUUUUCCAGGCAAAUCCGGAAAAUCAAGGCUGAGGCGUGAUGACGAGGCACUACGGUGCUGAAGCGACAAAUGCCCUGCUUCCAGGAAAAGCCUCUAAGCAUCAGGUAACAUCAAAUCGUACCCCAAACCGACACAGGUGGUCAGGUAGAGAAUACCAAGGCGCUUGAGAGAACUCGGGUGAAGGAACUAGGCAAAAUGGUGCCGUAACUUCGGGAGAAGGCACGCUGAUAUGUAGGUGAAGCGACUUGCUCGUGGAGCUGAAAUCAGUCGAAGAUACCAGCUGGCUGCAACUGUUUAUUAAAAACACAGCACUGUGCAAACACGAAAGUGGACGUAUACGGUGUGACGCCUGCCCGGUGCCGGAAGGUUAAUUGAUGGGGUUAGCGGUAACGCGAAGCUCUUGAUCGAAGCCCCGGUAAACGGCGGCCGUAACUAUAACGGUCCUAAGGUAGCGAAAUUCCUUGUCGGGUAAGUUCCGACCUGCACGAAUGGCGUAAUGAUGGCCAGGCUGUCUCCACCCGAGACUCAGUGAAAUUGAACUCGCUGUGAAGAUGCAGUGUACCCGCGGCAAGACGGAAAGACCCCGUGAACCUUUACUAUAGCUUGACACUGAACAUUGAGCCUUGAUGUGUAGGAUAGGUGGGAGGCUUUGAAGUGUGGACGCCAGUCUGCAUGGAGCCGACCUUGAAAUACCACCCUUUAAUGUUUGAUGUUCUAACGUGGGCCCCUUACCGGGGUUGCGGACAGUGUCUGGUGGGUAGUUUGACUGGGGCGGUCUCCUCCUAAAGAGUAACGGAGGAGCACGAAGGUUGGCUAAUCCUGGUCGGACAUCAGGAGGUUAGUGCAAUGGCAUAAGCCAGCUUGACUGCGAGCGUGACGGCGCGAGCAGGUGCGAAAGCAGGUCAUAGUGAUCCGGUGGUUCUGAAUGGAAGGGCCAUCGCUCAACGGAUAAAAGGUACUCCGGGGAUAACAGGCUGAUACCGCCCAAGAGUUCAUAUCGACGGCGGUGUUUGGCACCUCGAUGUCGGCUCAUCACAUCCUGGGGCUGAAGUAGGUCCCAAGGGUAUGGCUGUUCGCCAUUUAAAGUGGUACGCGAGCUGGGUUUAGAACGUCGUGAGACAGUUCGGUCCCUAUCUGCCGUGGGCGCUGGAGAACUGAGGGGGGCUGCUCCUAGUACGAGAGGACCGGAGUGGACGCAUCACUGGUGUUCGGGUUGUCAUGCCAAUGGCACUGCCCGGUAGCUAAAUGCGGAAGAGAUAAGUGCUGAAAGCAUCUAAGCACGAAACUUGCCCCGAGAUGAGUUCUCCCUGACUCCUUGAGAGUCCUGAAGGAACGUUGAAGACGACGACGUUGAUAGGCCGGGUGUGUAAGCGCAGCGAUGCGUUGAGCUAACCGGUACUAAUGAACCGUGAGGCUUAACCUUACAACGCCGAAG